GACGAACGCUGGCGGCGUGGAUUAGGCAUGCAAGUCGAACGGUAUGGACCUUUCGGGGUUCAGAGAGUGGCGAACGGGUGAGUAACACGUAGGUAAUCUACCCUCAAGACGGGGACAACCCAGGGAAACUUGGGCUAAUACCGGAUGUGUGUAGUGGCUAUUUUUCUGAUUAUCAUUAUUUACGUAAGUGAGUAAUAAUAAGAAGGGAAAGUGGUUAUUACAUAAAAGGUGGCGUAAGCUGCCGCUUGGGGAUGAGCCUGCGUCCUAUUAGUUAGUUGGUGAGGUAACGGCUUACCAAGGCGAUGAUAGGUAGGCGGCCUUAACGGGUGGUCGCCCACACUGGGAUUGAGAUACGGCCCAGACUCCUACGGGGAGGCAGCAGUCGAGAAUAGUCUACAAUGGACGGAAGUCUGAUAGUGCGACGCCGCGUGAACGAAGAAUCCCUUCGGGGUGUAAAGUUCUUUUAUACGUGAGCAGUGUCCUUUAUAUUAAUAGUAUAAGGGGAGAGGAUAUUAGCGUAUGAAUAAGCAACGG
This 534-nucleotide ribosomal RNA is filed under the name uncultured bacterium. RNAcentral describes it as "bacterial SSU rRNA". It matches the Rfam family "Bacterial small subunit ribosomal RNA", at positions 28 to 496 of the family's 1533-position model. The record is from RNAcentral.